GUUGAGGGCGUGAUUGUGAAGAGACAGUCUAACAUCGCGUAUCGCGAAGAAGAGAGAGAGUCCUCUCGCCUUGCCCUGAGAGGUGCAACUAACUAACUUCCUUCCUCGUUGUGAGGCCACUCGUCGGUCCUACCCGGCUCCAGGCACGCGCCCCGCUGCAGGCAGGAGCUUUGCUCGCUCCCCACCUGGCACUCACAUAGCGCACAGGUGCACGGAUGCGCGUACUGCAGGACCUUAGUGAAGCCGCCUUCUGGCGACCGUGGGAGUGAGAUAUGGGGCAUCAGCAACGGAAGGGCGGUGGCUGGCGCACUAUCUGGCGACCGUAUACUCACCAGCCAUGUGAGGGAAGUCCACGGCGGCGCCAUGCUAUUCCCGGUGCUGGACGUCGUCCUGGACUGCCUCGCUGGAGCUCCUACUCGACUGCACCGCGGCGAGCUGUCUGCGGAACUGGGCGCC
This is a long non-coding RNA of Frankliniella occidentalis (western flower thrips), 456 nucleotides long. RefSeq lists it as uncharacterized. The record is from RefSeq and is a predicted model, not a curated record. The transcript has 3 exons. NCBI's taxonomy places the organism in Eukaryota, Metazoa, Arthropoda, Insecta, Thysanoptera, Thripidae.